AUAUGAGUUCUAAGAUUAUUCUUUGUAUUAUAAAUAUAUAUUAUAGCUAAUGUGAGAAGGUGUCACGGUGAAGAAGAGGUAAAGAAGAGAUCCAACGAGGAAGGAGUAACAGAAGGUGUGUUAGAGUAACAGUGCUGUGUAGAAGGUGUACCAGCCUGCGAAGUCCUUCGUGGAUAGUGUAGUAGAACACCGGUGUUUUUAGUGUGUGUGUGUAGUAUUGUAGUGGAGUGUGGAACGAAGAUAAGAAGAUAUAGUAAACAGUAGCUAGGAGUGUAAGUAGUAGUCAACUAGAAGAAAGAAGAUAGUAACGAAGAAGUGUAUUUUGUAUAAACAUAGUUUUAGUAAUAUAUUUUAGUAGGAAGUAAAGACUUUUAGUUCGGAUAUUAUUUGGUGAUAUUUUAGUGUAGUAGUUUUAGUAAGUAGUUAGUUAGUAGUUAGUUUAUAGUGGGAAUCGGGUACAGGUCUAGGGAGGUUAGUGAGUAAGUGAAUUAUUAUAAUAUCUAGUGUUAAUUUAUUAACACCUUCUAUUUCAGUUUAUUUAUUAUAA
Bolinopsis microptera is the source of this 547-nucleotide long non-coding RNA. RefSeq lists it as uncharacterized. Lineage: Eukaryota; Metazoa; Ctenophora; Tentaculata; Lobata; Bolinopsidae. The transcript is spliced from 2 exons. The record is from RefSeq and is a predicted model, not a curated record.